UCCGGUUUGUCACCGGCAGUCUCCUUAGAGUUCCCACCAUUACGUGCUGGCAACUAAGGACAAGGGUUGCGCUCGUUGCGGGACUUAACCCAACAUCUCACGACACGAGCUGACGACAGCCAUGCAGCACCUGUGUUCCAGUUCCCUUUCGGGCACCCCCACAUCUCUGCGGGGUUCCGAGGAUGUCAAGGCCAGGUAAGGUUCUUCGCGUUGCAUCGAAUUAAACCACAUGCUCCACCGCUUGUGCGGGUCCCCGUCAAUUCCUUUGAGUUUUAAUCUUGCGACCGUACUCCCCAGGCGGAUAACUUAAUGCGUUAGCUGCGCCACCCAGGCACCAAGUGUCCGGACAGCUAGUUAUCAUCGUUUACGGCGUGGACUAC
RNAcentral lists this unclassified non-coding RNA (380 nucleotides) under uncultured Pseudomonadota bacterium. Its description in RNAcentral is "uncultured proteobacterium contains 16S-23S intergenic spacer region". Lineage: Bacteria; Pseudomonadati; Pseudomonadota. The record is from RNAcentral.